UGAUUGACAAUAUGUUUAAAUUCCAUUGUUUUUGCUUAAAUUUACCUUGUUUUGUUUAAAUUUGCAAAGUAGUACAAAAUGUGUUGUGGGUUUGGGUGUAAAAAACCCGAACCCAAUGGGUGUGGGCGUGGGUGUGGUUUUGCCACCCGAACAGAUUUGGGUUUGGGUUUGGGUUUGGGUGUUGAUUUCGGGUGUGGGUUUGGUAUCACUCAAACCCGCACCCGUGGGCGCCCAUUGCCAUCCCUAG
Molecule: long non-coding RNA, 247 nt
Filed under: Trifolium pratense (red clover)
Lineage: Eukaryota; Viridiplantae; Streptophyta; Magnoliopsida; Fabales; Fabaceae
Description: long non-coding RNA (TPRA_LNC013042)
Source: RNAcentral